UACGUAGGGUGCGAGCGUUGUCCGGAAUUACUGGGCGUAAAGAGCUCGUAGGCGGCUUGUCGCGUCGUCCGUGAAAACCCACAGCUCAACUGUGGGCUUGCGGUCGAUACGGGCAGGCUAGAGUUCGGUAGGGGAGACUGGAAUUCCUGGUGUAGCGGUGAAAUGCGCAGGUAUCAGGAGGAACACCGGUGGCGAAGGCGGGUCUCUGGGCCGAUACUGACGCUGAGGAGCGAAAGCGUGGGGAGCGAACAGG
RNAcentral lists this ribosomal RNA (253 nucleotides) under uncultured bacterium. Its description in RNAcentral is "partial 16S ribosomal RNA". It matches the Rfam family "Bacterial small subunit ribosomal RNA", at positions 524 to 776 of the family's 1533-position model. The record is from RNAcentral.